GAUGAAGAACGCAGCGAAAUGCGAUACUUGGGGUGAAUUGCAGAAUCCCGUGAACCAUCGAGUCUUUGAACGCAAGUUGCGCCCGAAGCCAUUAGGCCGAGGGCACGCCUGCCUGGGCGUCACACGUCGUUGCCCCCCCAUCUACUCCUUCGGGAUUGCGGGGGGCGGAUGAUGGCCUCCCGUGCGCCUCGUCGCGCGGUUGGCAUAAAUGCCAAGUCCUCGGCGACGCACGCCACGACAAUCGGUGGUUGCGAAACCUCGGUUGCCCGUCGUGUGCGGUCGUCGCGCAUCGAGGGCUCGAAAAAAUUGUCGGGCUCCGGCUCGGCUUUCAACGCGACCCCAGGUCAGGCGGGGUUACCCGCUGAAUUUAAGCAUAUCAAUAAGCGGAGGA
RNAcentral lists this unclassified non-coding RNA (391 nucleotides) under soil metagenome. RNAcentral's name for it is "partial contains 5.8S ribosomal RNA, internal transcribed spacer 2, and large subunit ribosomal RNA". The stretch from base 1 to 122 matches the Rfam family "5.8S ribosomal RNA", at positions 35 to 154 of the family's 154-position model. The record is from RNAcentral.